This 269-nucleotide ribosomal RNA is filed under the name uncultured bacterium. RNAcentral's name for it is "partial 16S ribosomal RNA". The record is from RNAcentral.
CUGCUGCCUUCCGUAGGAGUCUGGGCCGUGUCUCAGUCCCAAUGUGGCCGUUCAACCUCUCAGUCCGGCUACCGAUCGUUGACUAGGUGGGCCGUUACCCCGCCUACUAUCUAAUCGGCCGCGAGCCCAUCUUUCAGCAGAUUUCUCUUUUGGUUGUAAAUGGAUGCCCUUUUACAACGUUAUGCGGUAUUAGCAGUCGUUUCCAACUGUUAUCCCCCUCUGAAAGGUAGGUUGCUCACGUGUUACUCACCCGUCCGCCACUAAACCAU